CUCUCUGCAAAACAUCUGUUGGGUGACUAUUUGAAGGCCUGGGGACACAGGUUGGACAGCAUCCAGGUCUGUGUAGAGAGGAACCAAGCGUUUGCUCAAAGGGACAAAGGUCAGAGGCACGGGAGAAAACCCGGGAUAUACUUCUGUUUGGGAAGCUGGGGAGCUUGGCCCCAGAGGAGAUGGAAACAACCUGAAAGAGGCCUCACCUGGUUCAGGGGACUGUGCUGAGAAGACGCUCUGUGGCUGGACUGUAAGUAGCUUUGGAAGCAGUUGAAAGCCUGGUGUGCCUCUGUAUGUGCCUAACUGGCCCCAUGGAGUCUCGCUUCUCAGCUAUGAAGGGUUGGAGCCUGAAGAAGUUUUACUAAGUUUCAAAGAGAAGUGACUGACAGGGCCUAGUAGUUCUAAGAAGCAGGACCACCUCCGUGCUGACAUCCUUUAACCCCCAUCUGCUAUGGAAGGCACCAUUUUGCGUCAUCGUCAUAGAAGUCCUGAAGGCCCAGGACGUCGGCAGCUGCACACAAACUAUGCAAGGAGUUGAGACUCAGUUCAAACAAAAACAGAACUUGAGAUUUUCUGUUUGGAAAACAGCCGGGCCCCCUCUGUGCCUGUUCUCCCGGGGACAUAGUCUUUGUUAAAUAUAGUUCCCGUCUCCUCCUUUUCAGGACGCCGUGGUUCGUGGCUUGCCAUGUUGGCCCUGUCUUCUGCUUGAAGUGGAAAAUGCUAUUCAUCCUGUCGCUCAGCUGCUGGGUGGAUCCUGGAGCAGCUGUCCCUCGGGGACAUGGGUGAGGCCGAGUGCUACGCCUGUGAAUGCCAGUGAUGGGGAGAUAGCAAAUGUGCCACAGAGAGAGAAACCGUCCCAGGCAUUAGGAUGCCAACCUUCAGCUGCAUAAGACAUUUCCAAUUGCCUUCGUCUUUUGAAGGACCCUGCAUCUCUUGAGAGUCACGGCAGUUUUAAAGCAAUUUCAGGUCUUUGUUUCAUAAUCAUAUGCUGGGGAUUUUCAUAACUGCUCAGUUUCUUGUUAUCUACACCUUCCUCCUAAAAAUUCUGAGUAAACUGGACCAAGGUAGAUGCUGGAAAGCAUGGACCCACGAGAUGAGACCCCUACGUUAAACAAGGGAUUAGUGUCAACUCUUGCUAGGACCCCAGACACGUCAUUGAGGGUGUGUUUAGAAGGAAAUAUAGUACCGGCUGUCCUUUUGAAUAUUUGGGUUUCAGCCUUAUGACCUGCAUCUGUAUCUCUUGCUCUGAG
Arvicola amphibius (Eurasian water vole) is the source of this 1250-nucleotide long non-coding RNA. RefSeq lists it as uncharacterized. Lineage: Eukaryota; Metazoa; Chordata; Mammalia; Rodentia; Cricetidae. The transcript has 3 exons. The record is from RefSeq and is a predicted model, not a curated record.